GGACACUGCAUCCCCAGAGUGGUGCCAGGAGCUGGUGGCUGCCUGCAGUGACACAGCCAUGGCAUCACCAGGGGAUACAAUGGCAAAGCUGGAUGGGAAAGUGCUCGUCGGCUUUGUUUCAGGUCUGGACGGCAUCUGGCUUUCCCACAACAGAGUAUCACAAGACAUCUGAAGCUGGCUUUAAUCACUUUGGAUUUUAUACGGUCUAAAUGAGGUAUUUUCCAUUCUUGCUACCAUACCUUUACCGCUGUGAUCCACAGAAGCUGUGAUCCACUGGAAAAGAGCUGUCCCACACUGUACGCUAUUUCCAGAACUCAAAAGAUGCUACUACCAUGAAAUGUAAAGGAAACGCUGCCAAGUGAUGAUCGGAGAAAUACUGUUUCCUAUUUAACAGUAAAUACUUCAAGCAUUAUCAUCUCCAAGAAAAAAAGAAGCAUAACUAAUUCCAACUGAAAUUUGUUAUGUCUAUUUGUCUGUUUUUAAUUCUGUAAGCUACCACUGCUCCAAGAAAAUGAAUCAGAUCAAAGAAGUUACUAAGGAUUUUUCAUCUGGGGAAAACCUAAGAGCCCAUACUGAGGUUGUUGUCUAAGAUAAGGGGCCAGGAGGUUAAAUUAGCACAUUGCAUGUCAUCAGGAAACCUGUUUGUUUCUGAUUCUCAACCAAGCAAUCAGUCUUCAGCGAGUAUGUGAGAAGUCUGCAUUCUCUGCUGUCUAAAACUGUAAGAAUUUUGUCUAUAAUGCCUUGUUUGUUAAAGCAGGAAACUACACUACCAUGAUUACUUACAUAUUACUGCCUCAGUGCUCCAAACCAUUGAGCACAGUUAUUUCUACACUCCUUUUUCGACCCUUCUUUCACUAUAUGAACCUUUCAAAGGUACAAGAAUCCCACUGUGAUUAACAUGAAUUUUGGUGAGUCCAAGGAUACAUCUGAAAACAAGAAAUCGUCUUCACCUUUUUGAAAAAUACAGUUUGUAACUUCUUUUAAAUUACCUGAAGAGUCAGAAUACCUGAGAUUUUGCAGGAUGCACAUGGCAUCCAAAUUUGAGCACCUAAGUUAAAACUCUGCUGACAUUUUGCAUAAAAGGCAAAUAAGGGAAACAUACAAACAAACCAAAACUAAUCACAAAGCUCUUACUCUUUGUUGAGAAUUUUCAAAUUCGUCUUGGCAUUUUACGUUUGGAGUGAAACAGGUGGGUUUUUUUAGACAUGAAGUAUUUUAAAGAGCGGAAGACAUUUACAUAUUUAGGAUUAAUCCUCAGUAUCAUAUAUGUCCUCUAUAGAGUUGAGAAGAAUACUGUUUUAGACACACUGAGUCCAUUACAUAAAUAUUCUUUGGUCUCUCCUCACAGCAGGAAAAAAAAAAAAAGAAAAAAAAACAGUAGAUGAUGAAAAAGAAAUCCUCUAUUUUGAAUAUUUUCUUUCUUUAACUAAAGAAAUGAGUGAGUGGUUUAGGAGACAGCUACAAAAGUGGGGAAAAACAACUUACUGUCUAGUAUUUUUAUAACAUUAUAAACCUAUGUGAGAACGCAUAAAUAAAAACAAGAAAAAAAGAGAAUAUAAAUAGACCAGGUACAUCCUAGAAAAGUCUACAAGGAAGUCUAUAGUCUUAUUCCUUUCUACAGGAAUGAGUAAUGAACACCUUAGAGUAAUAUAAUUGUGAUGAUUCAAGAAUAACCAGCAAUAUCUCUUGCUGGUAGAUGGAUUUGCUCUUUCCUUGUUCUAAGAUGCUAAGCCUAAACUAUUUUGGAUGCAUUUUGGCUUUUUCACCAUUGCUUCUUCCCUGUGAAUGAAGAGCCAAUCUGCCACUCAGGACCAGCAAAUUCACUUUUGCAGGAGCAAGUUUCACACUCUGAGUGAUUGCAGUCUUCCUACAGUGAUGAAGGACUAUAUACUUUUGCCAUAAUGCUGAUUUGAAGUAUCUGCUCUCCCUGUUGCAUUACAUUCCAGGUUGCAACAGCUCUUCUAAAUAAUUAGAUGCUAAGGACCAGCACUAGACACAAUCACAAACAGAAGCAAACCAGUGAUUCCUGCAAGAGAGGGCUGGAAAUGGGGGUUUACUGACUGCCCUGCUGUCAGGGCACUGCAGCUCGCAGCUCUGAUGUGUCACAGAGGACACCUACAUGGGGAGCAUUUCCCUCUCCCAUAUUUUCCAUAGUGGUUGUUGUCUAUCCCACCACAGAAAGUUGCAUGGUGUUCUAAUAAUUAUGUAUGUCGUGCUGGGAGCUUUUCCUUUUCUUCCAGCAGAAGGAGGACAGGGGGAGGAGAGGAUGUGUCAGACCAAUUUACAUGCAAAUCCUGCGCCUCCGCUCCAAAGCACUUUAAAAGCACAGUUGUCCAAAAAUAAUAUAUGCCCAGCAAUGUCUUAUUGCCUUUGUACACUUUUGAGAUGUUGGCCAGUGAUGAUAAAGCUUGUUAACUGCAAAUUCUGGCAACAUGGCCUCUAAGGACCACAGCUAUUGUGAGCAACUUGAUAAGAAGAAAUCAUUAGUUACUGUGUUUGCAGAGCUGUACCACACAGGCAUUCUGGAAGACAUGACUACAGAAAAUUUUAUACUCUUCUGGUGUGAAACAACUUGAUAAUAUCUGCAUGGGGAGCCCAGCUAUGCUAUGUGGACAACCACAGGUGGAAGGCAGCAGAAACACACUAGCAACAGUGACUGGCCUUCUGUUGGCCUACAUGAGUAAAUAUCCACCUCGCUGCUCUGCCACUUUUGUUAAACCACCCUGUUUCCAGGUAAUACCGAAGCUCAGCACUGGGGAGCACACAGCACGUUCCUCCAAGGCAGCACCCCAAUGCUAGCAGCUGCAGCUGUGACUGGGGAAGCACCUCAACCAACAACACAGCAGCCCAGUGGGGUGGGAGGUGCAAGCUGCCAGGCACAGCUCGCUCAGCACCACGGCUGUAUGGCACCACGGUGAGGCCUCCCACCGCCCAGCAGCACUUCAGCUCCUCAACAAACAAAAUCACAACACCAUUGUUGUAUGUGCUACUCUGUAUUAACUAUCUACUAGCAGAGAAAAAUAACUCUUUUUUUUAAGUGUUUUAAGUUAAGCAAAUCCUUGGGCUUCCAUGAAUGGAACACCAAGAACUUUGCUCAUUUAGCAUUAACAGCCAAGAAGACACUACUGUUCUUCCAACUUCGUUUUUAAGCUCAUAAGACUGUAAUCUUGUUAGUACCCAGUAAGAAAAAAUUAAACAGUUAGUUACAGAAGAAAGCCCUAAAAUAUUAAAAACAUGAUUUCUUUAAAGCUGGAAAAAAAAUUAAAUGCCACAAAUUGAAAUUUUCAUUAUGUGUGAGCUAGUCAAAAAGGUUUUUUGCAGUCUGAAGCCAUGACUUUCACUCUUGGCAAACGAGUUUGAGUGAGUAACCUGAAAGAUAUGUGAAGACAAUCACUGUAUUUUAAAAUAUUCUAUUUUAAAAGAGCACAAGAAGUAAUACAUUUUAUAUUUAUGUGUGGCUUUAUUUAAAUAAAGCAGACAUGACUGCUUUGAACACUAGCUGUGAGACAUAUGGCUGCACAGAGCAUACAGGCACUGAGUAUGUAAAGCAGGCAAAUGUUUGUACAAGUGUCAAAGCAUGUCGUGAUCCUACUGAGAACCUGAUUGAUCACAAUCCUGAAUGGCCCAUUUUUAGUUCAAGGAGAAGAAUCCUCACCUUUCAACUACUAUCAGGGUUACUGCAUGCCCCAGCACAGAAGAACUCGUAGAUCUAAAGGCUGAAAAACAGGAAUAUUUAGCACCAUUUUUAUAAUGAACUCAAAACUCUAAGCAAAGACAGACCUUCAAAUCCAAGUUUGUCCCAUGGUGAGAAAAGAAAAAAAUGGAGAGAGAACCUGCUGCAUUGAUUCUUUUAAAAGAGUGAUUCUAAACUGCUGCAAAAUGUUUUUGUUCUUUAGCUUAAAUGACAGCAAAGCAUGUUAGAUGUAGACUAACCUACUCCAGCCAUACAUUAGUCCUUCCCACUGGCUUACCGUAACCCACAGGUUUAGUGAAAUGCACCACUGAUAAUUGACAUGCACAUCAGACCAAAGCCUAGCAUACUCUUAAUACAUCUUGCAGAAGCAAAGGAAUAUUUCAAGAACCUUCAUCUUAUAGCAAUGUGUAAUUCAAGUAAGGGAAAGACCGAAAAGGGGAUAUUGUGUGUUCUGCCACGCAUCACUGCUGCUUUGUGUCCCCACAACGCUGGCAGCCAUGGGCAGCGAUGCACUGCCAAGCAGAGGCUCACCACUUGUUUACAGAGCUCUGUCUGGAGGAAGCAGGGAGCAUUUCAUUCCCAUCUCCAGCAGACCUUUCAAGGCAGCUGCCAAGAACACUCUCGAAAGGCUUCAGAGAGAGAGCAAACUCCAGUAUUUUAUUCACUGAAGAGACUGGUGUGGUGCUGGGCACUCUGAAGAGGAGUGAGAGGCAGUAAGCACUACUCUAUUCAAAGGGUUAAAAUGUUUUCACAGACUUUCAAAUGUCAAAGUCAUAGGAAAAUGUCCAUGAAUUCAAAGUGAAGGACAGAUUAGCAAUCAACACAUAAUUACCUUUCAGAUUAUGAUCUCUACACAAAUAUUUGACACAAUAAAUGACAAAUAAAUUAAACUAGUAUGCUCUAUUUCUGUAUGAUAUAUGGAAAAGUCCUAAAUGUUUGGUUGGGAUUUCAUGCUGUAGAGGGCUACAGUUUCAAUGCUUUAAUUUUUAAAAUCAAUACUUAAUUAGUUCCAGGGGGUUUCAGAACUGUUAAACAAGUACACUGUGCGUUUCAAUACAGCCGUGUUUCAUGUAGACCCAUACCAGUUGUGAAACUGGUUCAUGAGAUCCCAUUAUCUUUGGAAGAGCCCACGAGCUAAUAUGAAAAUAAAGACUAGAACAAGAGGUUUCAGAGAAAACUAAUAAACAAUCCUUCCUUCCUUCUUAUAAAAUCAUUAAUAGAAGUAAAAUUGCGUAAGCACUUUUCCACUUAAACUACCACUGUGCAGUCACCAACACUGAUAAGUGAGAUACAAGCUUCACUGUACCCAAUGGUUACUUCUCUACCUUUAGAGUCGUACUUCAAUUUCUCAGUUCAGUGGCUAUGUGUUCAUGCACUGUGACCAAAUUAUGUGCACGUCCCUGUGUCAUCGGAGGCUGCCAAGUCUCAAAGCAGUUCAGUAAAAAAAAAAAAAAUCUCCACUAUUUUUCAGAACAAUUCCUUCAGGAUUUGGAGGACCUGGGAGGUGGGGCAUUAUUUUUCACCCACGCUGGGUGGCUGGAUAUGCAGUUCUUAAGAUAAAAAUAAUAAAUUGUUGUGAAAUGCUAAAAAAAGGAAAACACAAAAAUUGCCUCCUGACAACCAGCACAAAAGCGAGAAGUGAAAACCUUUGUUUUGCUAGAAAAAGAGUCCCAUGAUUGACUAUCACCAUACUCGAUAUGUCAGUGUCCACAAAGCACAGAAACUUGCAGCACUGCCUGGCUGCUGCCAUUCCCAACCUGCUGACACAGCCCCAGCAGCAGUGACCACACAGACUCCACAAUUUAUUAGGGCAAGUUUUAACAGCUACCAAGUACUCUCAGAAUAGCAGUACUCUUUUCUUUUUAAUAAAUGAGUAUUUUGAAUAUGAAUACUUUAUGUAUUCUGCAUUUCCUCCAGCACAGCAGCAAUACCUGCCAAAGAUUUUUAAUUUAAUUUUGACUAUUUGGGAAACACAGGCAAGGAAAAACAACAGCAGGGGCUGUGCUGUCAGCAGCUCUUUACACAGUAUGGGUAAUUGCUUACAACCUAGGUGUUGCUACAGUGCUUCUAUUAUCUCUGCUUCUUCCACAAGAACAUUUGAUACAAAAAUUAUAUUCAAUUUCUAUUCCCACUCUAGUCCCACACAAACGCACGUAAAAACAAAGGCAGCAACAACUGUGUUACUUUGUUUGCAUAUUAGUGAACAGAAAAGGAAAGAAAAUGACUCAAAUAACAGGCAUGUAAUAGAAUGCCAUUUUUAUCUAUAAAUAACAUUUUUAAAUUCAGAUCUGCAGAACUGUCUAAUAUUAGCAAAGAAGCCGAAACCCUUACACAGCUUGGAAACACUCAGCAUUACAAGAUUCACCCCUCCUACUGGAAUUUACCUGCCUUUGUGCCCACGUUGGAUAACUGCAGGUGAAUAGGCUGACAAGGAGUUACAGAAAGUGACAGUGGAAGAAAAGCACCUUUCAGGGAUUCUGUGUGUAGGAGUAACUGACAGAGUUAAUUUUAUCAGUCUUUCUGGCUUAUUCCAAAUGGCAGUCAACACCCACAGCUCUCGCUGAUGAAACAGCCCCCUCCGUACAGCUGACUGCAAAUACAAAUGCACAACUGAAGCAUCAGUGGCAUGCCUGCUCAGUCAUACAGACAGAUUUCUAUCAAGUUGUUAUCUUAGAAUUGCAGAACAGCUCAUGUUGGAAGACAUCUCUGAAAAUAGUCUGGCCCAAACCCUGCUCAUCCAGACCAUGCUGCCCAGGACCAUGUCCAGGUGUUUUCUGGAUCUCCAAGGAGACUCCUCUCUGGGUAACCAGCGUUCUAGCAGCCACACAGCACAGAAUUGAUCCCUGUGUUCAGAGUGAGCCACUGUGUGCUAGUGUGUGCCCACGAUCUGUGCCUCUCGUCCUGGCACUGAGCACCACUGAACAAAGCCUGGCCCCAUCCUCUCAGUACUCUGCUUUCCAUUAUUGAUGGAUACUGAUGAGAUUUCUGAGCCUCCUCUUCUCCAGGCUGAACAGUGCCGGCUCACUCAGCCUCAUCUCACAUUAGAGGUGCUCCAGGCUCUUCAUCAUUUUCAUGGCUUUUCUCUGGACUCUCUCCUCCAGUAGCUCCACAUUUCUCUUGAAAAACACAGUAUGAAGCCAAAAAAACUAAAGAAUUCAAAAAGAAACUGGAAUAAAAUCACAAACAAAACAACAAAAAAGCCCAACUUUAUUAUUAUGAUUUGUGGGAGGCUCGACUCAUGGUUUCUGAACGUGACGUUGAUCUAUCACCUUCAGAACACUCCCCUGGCUGUGUUAAUCCCCUUCUCAGACUCUCUGACUGUAUCUAUUCUAGAGGGAUGAAUAAUGACCACUCCUCGGCUUAGUGUUAUAUGAUAGCAUUAAUUUUCCUGAGUAGGAUUUACAUUAUAUGAAGACUUAUAAUUCACAUUUGGUCCUAGAAGUAAUUAAUUCAAUUUCUCAACCUAUAAACUAAAUAGCUUGUGUCUCUGGGCAAGCCUACACCUCUCCACGGGUUGCAAUGCAGAGAUCACGAGCCAGAUGAGGUAAAACUGGCUGCCAAACUGCAAAGGAAAGGCCACAGAAGCACAGCACUGCAGCUGAGCCUGCUGUGCUAACACGAGGGCUGAGAGCACAAGCACACACAGCCUAGUACAGCAGGUAGGCUGCUCCUGUAAGCUGGAGCUUCUCCUUCACCUGCACUACAGGAAUGGAAGAGACUGAUCAGGACUUAAGCCAGGGACACAUGAACAUUGAUCUGUUGUGUGCUGAGUAAAGCAUAGCCCUUUGUGCUCCAGGAGUACACAGCACCUACCAGCACUGCCAGAGUCCCUCAUGCUGGGGGGGAUGGGGUUUUCAGCAGGAACCACAACCUUCUGCAUCUGGAGCAGUCGAGAUUCCUACAGCCUUACCAGGCUAUUGAGGAAAUUAAUUGUACUUCACUUAAGGUAUUUCAGGAAGAGACUCACUCUCCAAAUGCAAGGCUUUCUCAGAGCACUGAAAGACAAUAAUUUCCAAAUGGGUUCCAUAAAGAGAUUUAAGCCACUUAAUCUCAGAACGAAAUACUAGAAACAAUUUUAAUUCUUCUGCCAAAUGAUGAGUUUGUAAUUCUGGUUUCUAUAGUUUCUGACGUCCAAUCUCUGAAUUGGAGCAAAAGAGAGUUAACCUACCUCACCUCCUACAGACAAUAUUCAGGCGUUCCAAUGCAGAAGUCCAUUUCCCAAGCUCUAUUUUCUAUCGUGUGUGUGUGUGCACGUCCACAUAUGAGAAAAUGUGUGGCUUAAUGAGUAUUUACAGCUUUGACACAGCCAGAAAAGCCCCAGGCCUCCUAUGAACUGCUUUGUUCUCCCAAGACAUUUUAUACAGCAUAUUCCAUCUCCCAUUUAUCACGGUGCCCUGGGAAGACAGAACUGGCACGCUUUCACCAGUGAAUGCUGGAGUUUUUUUGGGUUUGGGUUUUGGGGCUUUUUGUUUGCCUGUUUGCUUGCUUUGUUUUUGGUUUGUUCCUCCAGAGACCAUCAAAUCUCAUAACUCUCUGCUACUUUAAACUAAUGUAAGAAUUACUGUCAGAAAACAAAGACAGAAAGUGAUUUGCAAGACAGCAUGCACUGCUGUGGAAGUAAUCCUGGGUCCAUGCUGAACUGUUCUUUUCGUAAGCAACACCUGUCUCAUGCUAUUAUUACAUUAACCAAAGCCAAAAGUAUCUAUCCGUGAUGAAAAAAUUUGCAGUCCAAAAAGAAGUUUACAGACAGUGGGCUCCAGGAACUCUGGCAGCACAGUCUUGUGUAUUACAGAAUCACACAAAGCCAGCACCUCAAUUUGGGGUUGAGUACAACCACCAAAGAAGGAUCUGCAGUGGGUGGCAAAAGCAGUCACAAUUGUAAAGUAACCAAGCAAAUAAUAAGCUGUGUCCAUAGGGGAUAGAAAUGCUAUAAUUUCAGAAUUGCACGCUGCCAUAAAUAAGUGAGAGGUUAUUUACUGAAGCACACAGACUAGGUUUGCAAUCACAUGGCUAUUCUGUGUGCAUGCUUUUGAAAAGAAAGCUGAAAUUGUUCGACAGCAGACACAGUGGCACCGCACGCAUUGUUUGGGCUAGUAGCAACGGUGCAUUGCUAUAUGGUAGCUUUGUAGAAAAGGGAGUUCAUGCCACCUCCUUGAGUUUAGCUGUCUUAAAUAUAAACAAUAAGGCUUCCUUUUCAAGUUGAAGUAUUGGUAUGUGGGAACAGGACAACAAGAUCAGUCCUGCUUACCAUUUCUCCCUGGAAUUUGGGCAGAGUUUGUGACCGAGGGCUGGCAAGAGUGCCAAAAGCUAAUUUUGCUGAUGAGUAGUGCCAACCACCUUGGUCCUCAGAGGAUUUCAACAUGGCAUUUUGGUACUUUUAAUCACAGCAAGAAACUGGUUUUCACAGAGUGGAGACUGGCUGUCUGAUGAUGUUUUUUGUAAAAGAUACAACUUGGAAAAGUUUCAGGAAAGCAUGUGUGAACUUCGUUUUAUACUUCAGCAAGUUUGACCGGGUCAUGAUUAUUCAGCAAGUCAAGAAUAAGCUGGUCUACGUUCACCCCUUAAAAUGCAGAGGAAUUUGGGCCUCCAAUAAGUAAGUGCUUACUUUGAUGGGUAGGACAACUUUCAAGCUGAAAAGGGGCAGGUAGACAAGUCUGAAGACUGCUCUAAUUACAGGGAGGUAUUUGGUACUGCAAUUUUAUCAGCAACACGGCACUGAUGGACUGAUGAACUUAAACCACUUAAAGUUAUAUAGGCACAAGAGAGAUCACUGUUACACAAGGUUACCAAAUUGUCCCAGGCUGUUUACUUAUGUCACAACACGUAUUUGUUGUUCUGGUUUGGGUUGUUUUGCUUUUGUUUUGUUUUUCUUUUUAAAUAGACAAAAAUUCUUAAAACAAAAAACAAAACAAAAAAAAGAUUUGAUGACAGAAGAAUAGAGAAAACUCUAACUGAGCCAGCUCUUGCUGAUUACAUAAGAUGAUGUUAACAUCUAUGUUAGCAAAUUAUGCAAUUUCUGCUUCCGUUAUUUAUCAAGGGGGAAAAAUGGAUAUCUCAUAUUAUUGGUACAUACUCCUACAGUACAGCCACCUUUAAGACAUGCUAGCUGCUUAAAAUCACACAGUAAAACUACAAACUCUACCAGUUUACUUGGAAAACUCACUGAUUAAGAAGUGAGCAGUAAUAUGUAAACUAAAAAAGUUUACUAGCUUCUAUGGCACUGAAUAGAU
Molecule: RNA transcript, 9924 nt
Organism: Phasianus colchicus (ring-necked pheasant)
Lineage: Eukaryota; Metazoa; Chordata; Aves; Galliformes; Phasianidae
Source: RefSeq, a predicted model, not a curated record